Long non-coding RNA from Metopolophium dirhodum (rose-grain aphid), 849 nucleotides. RefSeq lists it as uncharacterized. The transcript is spliced from 5 exons. NCBI's taxonomy places the organism in Eukaryota, Metazoa, Arthropoda, Insecta, Hemiptera, Aphididae. The record is from RefSeq and is a predicted model, not a curated record.
GUACCAGAUGUUGAAUAUAAAUUCCCAUUGCUUGCAAAAAAUGAAAAACGUGGCUUAAGAUUUCAGCAUAAAUGGCUAAAAGAAUUUAAUUGGCUGGCGUAUUCAAAUGUCAAAAAUGGGACAUUCUGUAAAUACUGUGUACUGUUUGCAAAAAAUGGUGGUGUUGGAAGCCAGCCUUUGGGUAGCCUUGUUACUGUUGCUUUCAGCAACUGGAAGAAGGCAAAAGAGACUUUUCGGGCUCGUGGAAGUUUGAAAUAUCAUACAUUGUCUGUUCUAGACUCUGAACACUUUUUAAAAUAAUAGAAAAAAAGGAACUGUCUAUAAUAGAACGCAUAGAUAAUAAUAGAAUGGUACAAAUUGAAGAAAAUGGAAGGAAAAUAGGACCAAUUAUUGAGUGUAUAAUUCUAUGUGGUAAAGAAGAGUUGGCUUUGAGAGGACAUAGAGAUUUUGGUGAUAUCUUAGUAGAUGAUGAUUCAAGGCAAGGCCAUUUCCGUGGUAUUCUCAAGUACAGAGCAAAAGGAGAUGAAUUUUUGCGUAAUGUUCUUGAGGGUUCAGGGAAACGUAAUAAAUAUACGAGUCCAAUUAUACAAAAUGAAAUAAUUCAGUCAUGUAACACAAUUUUACUAAGGAAACUAGUUAAUGUGAUUAAUAAAUCUAAAUGUUUCUCUGCUCUGGCUGAUGAAACAACCGACAUAUCGACUAAAGAGCAACUCAGUAUAUGUGUUUGAUAUAUUGAUAAAAACAAUAAGUUGCAUGAGAACUUUUUACGAUUUUUUGAAAUUGAUAGCUUGACUGGUUAUGACUUGGCUAACUCAAUAUUAAAUGGCUUAAACAGAUGUGGAAUUGAUU